Molecule: non-coding RNA, 1186 nt
Organism: Mus caroli (Ryukyu mouse)
Lineage: Eukaryota; Metazoa; Chordata; Mammalia; Rodentia; Muridae
Source: RefSeq, a predicted model, not a curated record
CCCACAGGGCAUCUGGCUGACCUCUGCCUGCAGUGGCAAGGGUGAAGCUAUGCCCUGCUGCUUCGGGACAAUGUCAGGGUGUCUACCUUCCUCCCAGGAGUUGCCCUGAGGGACCGAGCAAACCAUCCACCCGCUAUUCACAAGGGGAAACUGAGGCUCACCAUCAGCGGUCACUGAUGGCCACCUCCUUGUGCUGAGGACUUGUGGGGUUUACUCAAAGAUGGCAGAGACACAGAGUGCACCAUGGAACAUAUAAGCUCGAGGAUUCCAGGAAGGAGGCUGGCAAGAUGGCUCAGCUGGGGAGGCCUGGCUGUGCACCACAUGCAUGCAGAGCCCGGAGGCCAGAACGGAGCGUCAGAUGCCCUGGUGCUGGAUUUUUCAGCGGGGCCUGUGAGCCAACGCAGGGGUGCUGGGAACUCAGGUUCCGCCUGGAGGUUCCUGGGACAUUGGCCUUCCAUGUAGAAUGCUCUGCUUGGUCGACCCUGCAGACAGGAGUUCAUCUGUGACUGGCCAGCAGAUCUCCAGGUGUGCACCGGUGGCCAUUCCUGGAGUCCUCAGGGGUGCACAGGCAGGAAGCUGUCCAGAUUCUCUGAUGUGGGCCCUGCCUUUUCUGGUUACCCACUCUUCCUCCCGCUCAUGUCUGUCGUCACCCAUGGUGACCAUAGGCCAUCUCCUUGGCAACGGCAGCCACCAGGUCAGCUGUAUCAUCGACCACAGCUCACCCUUGCAGACCCUACACUGGACACAGAAGGUGGCGAGGCCCCAUCAGGGGCAGCUUCCUGGACCUCGCGUGUGGCUGGGUCGGCAAGAGAGCUCAUCUUGACCCACCUGGACACUCAGGGGUCUGUGAGACCUGUUCCUCCCUCCUGCCCCAGGAAGGCACAUGGCUGCCCAAACGCUGCAGAAGAUGGCUUCUGAGCCCACUGCUUAGUGGAUUUGUCACUACAGGACAUCCAAGAGCAGCAGCUGCAGACGGAGAGGUGGUGUGGCGGUGAUGAAUGCUGGCUCCUUUCCAGAAGACCUGGGUUUAGUUCCCAGCACCCACAGGGCAUCUGUGACUCCAGCUCUGUCGAACGCAAUGCCCUCCUCUCUAACAGUUCCUGCACGCAUGCACCCAAAGGCAGAGCACUUAACGCACGAAAAAUGAAAAUAAAUAAAAUCUAAGAACAGCAGUCAAGGUUGCCAA